CCUGCCCAGAAGCGGGGGAUAACACCUGGAAACAGAUGCUAAUACCGCAUAACAACUUGGACCGCAUGGUCCGAGCUUGAAAGAUGGCUUCGGCUAUCACUUUUGGAUGGUCCCGCGGCGUAUUAGCUGGAUGGUGGGGUAACGGCUCACCAUGGCAAUGAUACGUAGCCGACCUGAGAGGGUAAUCGGCCACAUUGGGACUGAGACACGGCCCAAACUCCUACGGGAGGCAGCAGUAGGGAAUCUUCCACAAUGGACGAAAGUCUGAUGGAGCAACGCCGCGUGAGUGAAGAAGGGUUUCGGCUUGUAAAACUCUGUUGUUAAAGAAGAACAUAUCUGAGAGUAACUGUUCAGGUAUUGACGGUAUUUAACCAGAAAGCCACGGCUAACUACGUGCCAGCAGCCGCGGUAAUACGUAGGUGGCAAGCGUUGUCCGGAUUUAUUGGGCGUAAAGCGAGCGCAGGCGGUUUUUUAAGUCUGAUGUGAAAGCCUUCGGCUCAACCGAAGAAGUGCAUCGGAAACUGGGAAACUUGAGUGCAGAAGAGGACAGUGGAACUCCAUGUGUAGCGGUGAAAUGCGUAGAUAUAUGGAAGAACACCAGUGGGCGAAGGCGGCUGUCUGGUCUGUAACUGACGCUGAGGCUCGAAAGUAUGGGUAGCAAACAGGAUUAGAUACCCUGGUAGUCCAUACCGUAAACGAUGAAUGCUAAG
Molecule: ribosomal RNA, 710 nt
Filed under: uncultured bacterium
Lineage: Bacteria
Description: bacterial SSU rRNA
Rfam family: Bacterial small subunit ribosomal RNA
Source: RNAcentral